UACGGAGGUGGCAAGCGUUGUUCGGAUUGAUUGGGUGUAAAGGGCAUGUAGGCGUCUUGGUAAGUCGAGCGUGAAAUCCCGUAGCUCAACUACGGAACUGCACUCGAAACUGCCAGGAUUGAGUACGGAAGGGGAGAAUGGAAUUCCCGGUGUAAGAGUGAAAUCUGUAGAUAUCGGGAGGAACACCAGUAGCGAAGGCGAUUCUCUGGGCCGAUACUGACGCUGAAAUGCGAAAGCUAGGGGAGCAAACAGGAUUAGAUACCCUCGUA
RNAcentral lists this ribosomal RNA (269 nucleotides) under uncultured prokaryote. Its description in RNAcentral is "partial 16S ribosomal RNA". It matches the Rfam family "Bacterial small subunit ribosomal RNA", at positions 524 to 792 of the family's 1533-position model. The record is from RNAcentral.